Molecule: ribosomal RNA, 425 nt
Filed under: uncultured bacterium
Lineage: Bacteria
Description: partial 16S ribosomal RNA
Rfam family: Bacterial small subunit ribosomal RNA
Source: RNAcentral
GUGGGGAAUCUUGCGCAAUGGGCGAAAGCCUGACGCAGCCAUGCCGCGUGAAUGAUGAAGGUCUUAGGAUUGUAAAAUUCUUUCACCGGGGACGAUAAUGACGGUACCCGGAGAAGAAGCUCCGGCUAACUUCGUGCCAGCAGCCGCGGUAAUACGAAGGGGGCUAGCGUUGCUCGGAAUUACUGGGCGGAAAGGGCGCGUAGGCGGACAGCUUAGUCAGAGGUGAAAGCCCAGGGCUCAGCCUUGGAAUUGCCGUUGAUACUGGCUGUCUUGAGUUUGGGAGAGGUGAGUGGAACUCCGAGUGUAGAGGUGAAAUUCGUAGAUAUUCGGAAGAACACCAGUGGCGAAGGCGACACACUGGCUCAUUACUGACGCUGAGGCGCGAAAGCGUGGGGAGCAAACAGGAUUAGAAACCCUUGUAGUCC